GUUAUCCAUUCGUUUGAUGUGUUGGAACUUUUGAUUUUGCCGUUUGAUUAGGGACUUUCGUUUUGAAUUUUCUUCGGAGACCCGUCAGUCCGGUUAUUUUUUAAUUCUUUUUUAACUUUUUUCAACAUUUCAGAUGUUCAAUUAUUCGAAAGUUCACAAAUUGUCACACGAGAACGUGAUCGUAUGGUUAUAUUUUUAUUCUUGAGAAGUAUGAUUCCUGGUGGCGAAUGAAUUCCUACCAACGUAGGGGUGAAAUUCAAUCUUUCUCUUUUUUUUUCUAAGUCUUUUUACACUGUUAAAUUUUCCUUAGCCAUACAAGGUUAUUAAUUAAUCAUGAUUAAUUUCAGGAUAAAUAUAUCAGCGUAAUUGAUGUUAUACAUGUACAAAUGUCAAAUGUGAUUGUAGAACAACAU
Molecule: long non-coding RNA, 413 nt
Filed under: Mytilus galloprovincialis (Mediterranean mussel)
Lineage: Eukaryota; Metazoa; Mollusca; Bivalvia; Mytilida; Mytilidae
Source: RNAcentral